GACAGAGGUGCCGAGCGUUAGGCGGAAUCACUGGGCUUAAAGCGUGUGUAGGCGGAUCGUUAAGUAUCUUGUGAAAUCCCACGGCUCAACCGUGGAACUGCUGGGUAUACUGGCGAUCUUGGGCCACCUAGGGGCAGAUGGAACAGACGGUGGAGCGGUGAAAUGCGUAGAUAUCGUCUGGAACGCCAAAGGUGAAGACAGUCUGCUGGGGGUGUGCCGACGCUGAGACACGAAAGCCAGGGGAGCGAACGGG
RNAcentral lists this ribosomal RNA (253 nucleotides) under uncultured bacterium. Its description in RNAcentral is "partial 16S ribosomal RNA". It matches the Rfam family "Bacterial small subunit ribosomal RNA", at positions 524 to 776 of the family's 1533-position model. The record is from RNAcentral.